GAUGAACGCUGGCGGCGUGCCUAAUACAUGCAAGUCGAGCGAACGGACGAGAAGCUUGCUUCUCUGAUGUUAGCGGCGGACGGGUGAGUAACACGUGGAUAACCUACCUAUAAGACUGGGAUAACUUCGGGAAACCGGAGCUAAUACCGGAUAAUAUUUUGAACCGCAUGGUUCAAAAGUGAAAGACGGUCUUGCUGUCACUUAUAGAUGGAUCCGCGCUGCAUUAGCUAGUUGGUAAGGUGACGGCUUACCAAGGCAACGAUGCAUAGCCGACCUGAGAGGGUGAUCGGCCACACUGGAACUGAGACACGGUCCAGACUCCUACGGGAGGCAGCAGUAGGGAAUCUUCCGCAAUGGGCGAAAGCCUGACGGAGCAACGCCGCGUGAGUGAUGAAGGUCUUCGGAUCGUAAAACUCUGUUAUUAGGGAAGAACAUAUGUGUAAGUAACUGUGCACAUCUGGACGGUACCUAAUCAGAAAGCCACGGCUAACUACGU
Molecule: ribosomal RNA, 496 nt
Filed under: uncultured bacterium
Lineage: Bacteria
Description: partial 16S ribosomal RNA
Rfam family: Bacterial small subunit ribosomal RNA
Source: RNAcentral